Molecule: small RNA, 533 nt
Filed under: Vigna angularis var. angularis
Lineage: Eukaryota; Viridiplantae; Streptophyta; Magnoliopsida; Fabales; Fabaceae
Description: Non-protein coding transcript
Source: RNAcentral
GCACUGGUGGGGACAGUAACAGGAUUCGAAUUCAAAACAAUCAUACUCUUUCCUUCCUGGAUAAGAUCGUAUCAUCUGGCAAGGUAUCAUCUUCCAAGGUAUCAUCUAGGAAGGUAUCAUCUGGGAAGAUAGCACCUGUCUUCAACGGCAACACUUUCCAUCAGAUGAAAAUAGUUGACAAGUGAAGAAACAUAAGCAGUUCAUGAAAGUAAAAGCAGAAAUUGGUUAUUUAAUGAUCUCAGUGCACCAUCACAAUCAAGGCCAUGAACCCCAAAUCAACAAACAUAGCUAAAAAGUUUAUUAUGAUGAUAAUGGUGGCAACAAAUGGGAGUGAUGGUGGAAAUGGCAGCAAAAAUGUCAUAUUUGGUGGCAUCAGAAUAUAUUUUAGUGACAUGUUUUGACAGAGUUAACAACACUGAUUGAAGCAGUCAGUUGUUAUGAAGACAGUCGUAGCAUUAGUCAAUGUUGACAAACAUACCUUAAACAGUCUUAGCAUCUCUUUCCAUUGCUCGGAUACAUUAUGAUGCAAGGGG